Molecule: ribosomal RNA, 468 nt
Filed under: uncultured bacterium
Lineage: Bacteria
Description: partial 16S ribosomal RNA
Rfam family: Bacterial small subunit ribosomal RNA
Source: RNAcentral
GACGAACGCUGGCGGCGUGCUUAACACAUGCGAGUCGAACGGAAAGGCCCUGCUUUUGUGGGUUGCUCGAGUGGCGAACGGGUGAGUAACACGUGAGUAACCUGCCCUUGACUUUGGGAUAACUUCAGGAAACUGGGGCUAAUACCGGAUAGGAGCUCCUGCUGCAUGGUGUGGGUUGGAAAGUUUCGGCGGUUGGGGAUGGACUCGCGGCUUAUCAGCUUGUUGGUGGGGUAGUGGCUUACCAAGGCUUUGACGGGUAGCCGGCCUGAGAGGGUGACCGGACGAAUUGGGAAUGAGAUAGGGCCAGAAGUCCGAAGGGAGGCAGAAGGGGGGAAAAUUGCACAAUGGGAGGAAGCCUGAGGCAGGAAGGCCGCGGGAGGGAUAAAGGCUUUCGGGUGGUAAAAAGAUUUGGCCUGUGAAGAGGCGAGAGUGAGGGUAAUGGGAAAAGAAGAACCGGCUAAAAACGUG